AGUCUCCGUGAAUAAGUCUAUACUUCCGAUCCGCCCCCCGCCCCGCAGCGCCUCCGUCUCGGCCGCCGGCCCUCAGGGCUGCCUUCCCCAGCCCGUCACCAUCUGAGAGGGCACAGGACGGAAGGGGCCAUCCUACCAACCCAGCUGUCGACCCCGCUCCCCGCAACACAACCCCAAACGGUCCCCCUUUGCCCGCUUUCAACAUGGCGGCCCACGCACGCGCCUACAUACCGUCCAGGCCGAAUUCCCUCGUCCUUCUCGCCAGGGUGGGCCCUACUCCCACCAAACCGCUCCCGCUCACCUCAGCAAGGAUCGGGCUUCCUUUCCCACAGGGCCAGGUGCCGAGCUCGAAGCGACGGAAGAUUCUUCCUCCUUGACUGACAGGACCUUUACAUCAGAAGUAGCAGAUUCGUCACGGGCCCCGUUUCCGUUUUUGCUUUUAUUUUAACAAAUUUAAUCACAUGCCUUGAGCAUCGACUGCAUAUUGUCUCCGAAGAGAAUGAACUUUCUGUUUCUGUAAAAAUUUUCACGAAGACAGAAACUGCUAAAUUGAACAAAAGUUGAAAGACGAUCGAAUGUGCAGCUAGUUGUCUGGGAGCCGCUGGAUUUCUCUCCGUAGCGAGGAGGUGUUUCAGCGCAAUGCGAGUUUUGGUUCUUAGGCUCGCUUUGAGAAUUUGAUUAAUAUUGUGGGGUUUUUUUACUCAGAAAAUGCGUAUGCCGGUUCACAAGGAAACUUUGUCAAAAUAUUCGGGUAGAUUACGACUUGUGGUACAACUUGAAAUGUCUUGAGACAGUUGUGCUUUUCAUGAUGAGUCUCGUGAUUUCUUCAGCCACUCAUUUUCUGAUUAAUUCUUACAAGUGGGUCAUUUCUGCGAACAGCUGAUCUCAUUUUGAUUCCAGUCCUAUUCUUAGAAGGACUUCCCUGGUGGCGCAGUGGUUAAGAAUCCACCUGCCAGUGCAGGGGACACUGGUUCGAUCCCUGGUCCAGGAAGAUCCCACAUGCCGCAGAGCAACUAAGCCCAUGCACCACAACUACGGAGCCUGCACUCUAGAGCCCGCGAGUCACAAUUACUGAGCCCGUGAGCCACAACUACUGAAGCCUGGGCGCCUAGAGCCUGUGCUCCGCAACAAGAGACGCCACUGUUUGAAGCCCACGCACCGCAACUAAGAGUAGCCCCCCUCACGGCAACUAGAGAAAGCCCGCGCUCAACAACGAAGACCCAGUGCAGCCAAAAAUAA
Long non-coding RNA from Lagenorhynchus albirostris (white-beaked dolphin), 1239 nucleotides. RefSeq lists it as uncharacterized. The record is from RefSeq and is a predicted model, not a curated record. Lineage: Eukaryota; Metazoa; Chordata; Mammalia; Artiodactyla; Delphinidae. The transcript is spliced from 3 exons.